AGCAGUGGGAGCCUCUUUAUGGGGUGACUGCGUACCUUUUGUAUAAUGGGUCAGCGACUUAUAUUCUGUAGCAAGGUUAACCGAAUAGGGGAGCCGAAGGGAAACCGAGUCUUAACUGGGCGUUAAGUUGCAGGGUAUAGACCCGAAACCCGGUGAUCUAGCCAUGGGCAGGUUGAAGGUUGGGUAACACUAACUGGAGGACCGAACCGACUAAUGUUGAAAAAUUAGCGGAUGACUUGUGGCUGGGGGUGAAAGGCCAAUCAAACCGGGAGAUAGCUGGUUCUCCCCGAAAGCUAUUUAGGUAGCGCCUCGUGAAUUCAUCUCCGGGGGUAGAGCACUGUUUCGGCAAGGGGGUCAUCCCGACUUACCAACCCGAUGCAAACU
This 384-nucleotide ribosomal RNA is filed under the name Escherichia coli. RNAcentral's name for it is "partial 23S ribosomal RNA". It matches the Rfam family "Bacterial large subunit ribosomal RNA", at positions 569 to 955 of the family's 2925-position model. The record is from RNAcentral. Lineage: Bacteria; Pseudomonadati; Pseudomonadota; Gammaproteobacteria; Enterobacterales; Enterobacteriaceae.